RNAcentral lists this ribosomal RNA (411 nucleotides) under Salmonella enterica. Its description in RNAcentral is "bacterial SSU rRNA". It matches the Rfam family "Bacterial small subunit ribosomal RNA", at positions 694 to 1104 of the family's 1533-position model. Lineage: Bacteria; Pseudomonadati; Pseudomonadota; Gammaproteobacteria; Enterobacterales; Enterobacteriaceae. The record is from RNAcentral.
AGAUCUGGAGGAAUACCGGUGGCGAAGGCGGCCCCCUGGACAAAGACUGACGCUCAGGUGCGAAAGCGUGGGGAGCAAACAGGAUUAGAUACCCUGGUAGUCCACGCCGUAAACGAUGUCUACUUGGAGGUUGUGCCCUUGAGGCGUGGCUUCCGGAGCUAACGCGUUAAGUAGACCGCCUGGGGAGUACGGCCGCAAGGUUAAAACUCAAAUGAAUUGACGGGGGCCCGCACAAGCGGUGGAGCAUGUGGUUUAAUUCGAUGCAACGCGAAGAACCUUACCUGGUCUUGACAUCCACAGAAGACUGCAGAGAUGCGGUUGUGCCUUCGGGAACUGUGAGACAGGUGCUGCAUGGCUGUCGUCAGCUCGUGUUGUGAAAUGUUGGGUUAAGUCCCGCAACGAGCGCAACCC